RNAcentral lists this ribosomal RNA (489 nucleotides) under uncultured bacterium. Its description in RNAcentral is "bacterial SSU rRNA". It matches the Rfam family "Bacterial small subunit ribosomal RNA", at positions 30 to 510 of the family's 1533-position model. The record is from RNAcentral.
AUUGAACGCUGGCGGCAGGCCUAACACAUGCAAGUCGAGCGGUAGAGAGGUGCUUGCAUCUCUUGAGAGCGGCGGACGGGUGAGUAAUGCCUAGGAAUCUGCCUGGUGGUGGGGGAUAACGUUCGGAAACGGACGCUAAUACCGCAUACGUCCUACGGGAGAAAGCGGGGGAGUCUUCGGACCUCGCGCCAUUAGAUGAGCCUAGGUCGGAUUAGCUAGUUGGUGAGGUAAUGGCUCACCAAGGCGACGAUCCGUAACUGGUCUGAGAGGAUGAUCAGUCACACUGGAACUGAGACACGGUCCAGACUCCUACGGGAGGCAGCAGUGGGGAAUAUUGGACAAUGGGCGAAAGCCUGAUCCAGCCAUGCCGCGUGUGUGAAGAAGGUCUUCGGAUUGUAAAGCACUUUAAGUUGGGAGGAAGGGUAGGUAACCUAAUACGUUGCUACUUUGACGUUACCGACAGAAUAAGCACCGGCUAACUUCGUGCCA